This 253-nucleotide ribosomal RNA is filed under the name uncultured bacterium. RNAcentral describes it as "partial 16S ribosomal RNA". It matches the Rfam family "Bacterial small subunit ribosomal RNA", at positions 524 to 776 of the family's 1533-position model. The record is from RNAcentral.
UACGAAGGGGGCUAGCGUUGCUCGGAAUCACUGGGCGUAAAGCGCACGUAGGCGGCUUCUUAAGUCAGGGGGGAAAUCCUGGAGCUCAACUCCAGAACUGCCUUUGAUACUGGGAAGCUUGAGUCCGGGAGAGGUGAGUGGAACUGCGAGUGUAGAGGUGAAAUUCGUAGAUAUUCGCAAGAACACCAGUGGCGAAGGCGGCUCACUGGCCCGGUACUGACGCUGAGGUGCGAAAGCGUGGGGAGCAAACAGG